Molecule: ribosomal RNA, 301 nt
Filed under: uncultured bacterium
Lineage: Bacteria
Description: partial 16S ribosomal RNA
Rfam family: Bacterial small subunit ribosomal RNA
Source: RNAcentral
CAGUCGCCACGGGAAUACGAAGGGGGCUAGCGUUGUUCGGAUUUACUGGGCGUAAAGGGCGCGUAGGCGGACUGAUAAGUCAGGGGUGAAAUCCCAAGGCUCAACCUUGGAACUGCCUUUGAUACUGUUUGUCUUGAGUUCGAGAGAGGUAAGUGGAACUGCGAGUGUAGAGGUGAAAUUCGUAGAUAUUCGCAAGAACACCAGUGGCGAAGGCGGCUUACUGGCUCGAAACUGACGCUGAGGCGCGAAAGCGUGGGGAGCAAACAGGAUUAGAUACCCCUGUAGUCCCUGUCUCUUAUAA